This 499-nucleotide ribosomal RNA is filed under the name uncultured Megasphaera sp. RNAcentral describes it as "bacterial SSU rRNA". It matches the Rfam family "Bacterial small subunit ribosomal RNA", at positions 15 to 480 of the family's 1533-position model. Lineage: Bacteria; Bacillati; Bacillota; Negativicutes; Veillonellales; Veillonellaceae. The record is from RNAcentral.
GAUCCUGGCUCAGGACGAACGCUGGCGGCGUGCUUAACACAUGCAAGUCGAACGAGGUUUAACGAGAAGCUUGCUUCUCAUUAGACCGAGUGGCAAACGGGUGAGUAACGCGUAAACAACCUGCCCUCAGGAUGGGGACAACAGCUGGAAACGGCUGCUAAUACCGAAUACGAUCACAGUACCGCAUGGCGCUGUGAUGAAAGGAUGGCCUCUAUUUAUAAGCUAUCGCCGGAGGAGGGGUUUGCGUCUGAUUAGCUAGUUGGAGGGGUAACGGCCCACCAAGGCGACGAUCAGUAGCCGGUCUGAGAGGACGAACGGCCACAUUGGAACUGAGACACGGUCCAGACUCCUACGGGAGGCAGCAGUGGGGAAUCUUCCGCAAUGGGCGAAAGCCUGACGGAGCAACGCCGCGUGAGUGAUGACGGCCUUCGGGUUGUAAAGCUCUGUUAUAUGGGACGAACGGGCAUGGGGCGAAUACCCCCAUGCAGUGACGGUACCG